Molecule: ribosomal RNA, 294 nt
Filed under: Scaphocalanus magnus
Lineage: Eukaryota; Metazoa; Arthropoda; Copepoda; Calanoida; Scolecitrichidae
Description: partial 28S ribosomal RNA
Rfam family: Eukaryotic large subunit ribosomal RNA
Source: RNAcentral
CCAAGGAGUCUAACAUGUAUGCGAGCCAUUGGGUUGACUAAACCUAGAGGCGCAGUGAAAGCAAAGAGUAGCCUGUCUGCUCGAGGGACGAUCCUCACGGCGCAGUCCCGCAACUUCCAAUCAACCUCGCAUUGUUGGGAGUAUGCAGAGCAUAAAUGUUGGGACCCGAAAGAUGGUGAACUAUGCCUGGCCAGGUUGAAGUCAGGGGAAACCCUGAUGGAGGACCGUAGCGAUUCUGACGUGCAAAUCGAUCGUCGGAGCUGGGUAUAGGGGCGAAAGACUAAUCGAACCAUC